RNAcentral lists this ribosomal RNA (254 nucleotides) under uncultured bacterium. RNAcentral describes it as "partial 16S ribosomal RNA". It matches the Rfam family "Bacterial small subunit ribosomal RNA", at positions 524 to 776 of the family's 1533-position model. The record is from RNAcentral.
UACGUAGGGUGCUAGCGUUGUCCGGAUUUAUUGGGCGUAAAGGGCUCGUAGGCGGCGUGUCGCGUCGGGAGUGAAAGCCCGCUGCUUAACGGCGGGUUGGCUUCCGGUACGGGCAUGACUGGAGUUCGGCAGGGGAGACUGGAAUUCCUGGUGUAGCGGUGAAAUGCGCAGAUAUCAGGAGGAACACCGGUGGCGAAGGCGGGUCUCUGGGCAGUAACUGACGCUGAGGAGCGAAAGCGUGGGGAGCGAACAGG